CACAAAACUUCUUCUGGCCCAAUUUUAACCGAGAUGUGCGGGUUUAUUGUAGCACGUGUGACACCUGUCAACGGGUAGGUAAGCAGGGGGAUCACCCAAAAGCUAGGCUUCAGUCGAUGCCUAUCAUUGGAGAACCCUUUUCCCGCAUAGCCGUUGACAUUGUGGGUCCACUGGCCAGGGCUAGCCCACCAGGUAAGAAGUAUAUUCUCACCGUGGUGGACUAUGCCACACGUUAUC
This is a non-coding RNA of Pelobates cultripes (western spadefoot toad), 237 nucleotides long. The record is from the annotation of a GenBank genome assembly. Lineage: Eukaryota; Metazoa; Chordata; Amphibia; Anura; Pelobatidae.